Molecule: ribosomal RNA, 234 nt
Filed under: Bacillus cereus
Lineage: Bacteria; Bacillati; Bacillota; Bacilli; Caryophanales; Bacillaceae
Also listed under: 1 other name
Description: partial 23S ribosomal RNA
Rfam family: Bacterial large subunit ribosomal RNA
Source: RNAcentral
AACGCCGAUAUGCUUCGGGGAGCUGUAAGUAAGCUUUGAUCCGAAGAUUUCCGAAUGGGGAAACCCACUAUACGUAAUGGUAUGGUAUCCUUAUCUGAAUACAUAGGGUAAGGAAGACAGACCCAGGAAACUGAAACAUCUAAGUACCUGGAGGAAGAGAAAGCAAAUGCGAUUUCCUGAGUAGCGGCGAGCGAAACGGAACAUAGCCCAAACCAAGAGGCUUGCCUCUUGGGG